UCUCGGCUCUACGCUCUGGAGUCCCGGGAGCAGUGAGGGGCCACCCGGGGCACAGGAAAGGGCUGCUGGGGGAGGGCCGGGUGCACUCGGGGUGUCUGGGCCGCGGGUCUGAGGGAUGAGGAGGGGCCAUGGCCAGCGACGGGGCCAGGAAGCAAUUCUGGAAGCGCAGCAACAGCAAGCUCCCGGGCAGCAUCCAGCACGUGUAUGGUGCCCAGCACCCCCCCUUUGAUCCACUGUUACAUGGCACGCAUUCCUCAGGGAGGAGACUGGUUUCUCAUUCAGCCACACUGAUCAAGCAGUCGCUUUGUGUGAGAUACUGUGCACCCCGUGCUGCGCAUCCCGUUUGCUCAGGUCCACGGCCAAGAUGCCGGCCACACCAGUGAAGGCCAAGAGGGUCAGCACCUUCCAGGAGUUUGAGAGCAAUACCAGCGAUGCCUGGGACGCUGGGGAGGAUGGCGACGAGCUCCUGGCCAUGGCGGCGGAGAGCCUGAACUCCGAGGUGGUCAUGGAGAC
RNAcentral lists this small RNA (513 nucleotides) under Pan troglodytes (chimpanzee). RNAcentral describes it as "processed transcript". The record is from RNAcentral. Lineage: Eukaryota; Metazoa; Chordata; Mammalia; Primates; Hominidae.